UAUGUGAUCGUCUCUCGCAUAUCAAUAAGCGGAGGAAAAGAAACUAACAAGGAUUCCCCUAGUAACGGCGAGUGAAGCGGGAAGAGCUCAAAUUUGAAAUCUUAAAGGGUUUCCCUUUACGAAUUGUAGUUUAAAGAAGUGUUUUCUGUUGAGGUUUUGGUAAAAGUUCUUUGGAAUAGGACAUCAUAGAGGGUGAGAAUCCCGUAUUUGACCUUUACUUUCAACUUUGUGAUACACUUUCAAAGAGUCGGAUUGUUUGGGAAUGCAGUCCAAAAUGGGUGGUAAAUUUCAUCUAAAGCUAAAUAUUGGCGAGAGACCGAUAGCGAACAAGUACCGUGAGGGAAAGAUGAAAAGAACUUUGAAAAGAGAGUUAAACAGUACGUGAAAUUGUCAAAAGGGAAGCGUUUGACACCAGUGUUGUUUUUCUGAAAAUCAAUUAAAGAACUGUUUAUGCUAAGCUGUUUAGACUUUAUCAGCUAUCUGUUUAGCUUUUGAGCUUUUCUUUAAUGCACUUUUCAGUUAACAAGUCAACAUCAAUUUCCUUUUGCUGUAAAAAAGCUUGAGGAAGGUGGCUUGAGAUUCGUCUUAAGUGUUUAUAGCCUCUUGCCUAUGCAGUCGGAGAGAUUGAGGUCUGCAGCGUAGAUCCUUCGGGGCUAAAUGCAUUUGUGCUAAGUUAUAGCAUUUUAUAGACAACUUGUUGACUAUGAUUUGUCUUGUAGCUUACUCGCUUAUGUUAUUUUACCUACGCUUAGGAUGUUGAGUAGCGACAUACGCAC
Molecule: ribosomal RNA, 776 nt
Filed under: uncultured Neocallimastigales
Lineage: Eukaryota; Fungi; Neocallimastigomycota; Neocallimastigomycetes; Neocallimastigales
Description: partial large subunit ribosomal RNA
Rfam family: Eukaryotic large subunit ribosomal RNA
Source: RNAcentral